UGUGUGUGUGUGUGUGUGUGUGUGUGUGUGUGUGUGUGUAGAGAAAAUCUUUGUGACAACUUAAUCAUUUGUUUUUCCUUAAAGAAACAUAAUAGUUCACAGGCAUCUUUGGGAAGCAGCCUUGGAAGCUAUCAAGAGACAAAGGAGCAUAAAAUUUUGUGAGGAAGACCUUUACCAGGAGGCAUCUAAAAUUCAAGAAGAAGUCAGGGUUUUGUGGUUUUCCAGGGUAACUUGCACACUUCCCAUGGUUUUUAUCCUGAGAAGUAUUGAAUAAGCUUACAGUGAAAGAUCCAGCAGAGGCACUCAAAAAUCAGGACAAAAUUGAAUUAUUUGAAGGAAAAUUGAUAAACCUGGAGACUGUAAUUCCAAUGAAAUAAACCAGACACACA
Molecule: long non-coding RNA, 389 nt
Filed under: Fukomys damarensis (Damara mole-rat)
Lineage: Eukaryota; Metazoa; Chordata; Mammalia; Rodentia; Bathyergidae
Description: lncRNA (ENSFDAG00000021666.1)
Source: RNAcentral